Molecule: transfer RNA, 73 nt
Filed under: Ailuropoda melanoleuca (giant panda)
Lineage: Eukaryota; Metazoa; Chordata; Mammalia; Carnivora; Ursidae
Rfam family: tRNA
About the family: Transfer RNA (tRNA) molecules are approximately 80 nucleotides in length.
Source: Rfam by way of RNAcentral
GCCUGGCUGGCUCAGUCGGUAGAGUGUGCAACUCUUGAUCUCAGGGUUGUGAGUUCGAGCCCCACCUCGGGUG